Xiphophorus maculatus (southern platyfish) is the source of this 276-nucleotide long non-coding RNA. RefSeq lists it as uncharacterized. Lineage: Eukaryota; Metazoa; Chordata; Actinopteri; Cyprinodontiformes; Poeciliidae. The transcript has 3 exons. The record is from RefSeq and is a predicted model, not a curated record.
GGGGGAGUUACCAUGAUGACGGCCUGCUGGUUCACAAUCGCCUGCUGCUGCUGGGCCAAAACAGCUUGCUGGUCUCCUAGAGGAGAAACAGUGUUACAGGUGCCACAGCAGCGACAGGAGGCGACAUCAUACCGCCCACAGGAAGGACUCUCACAGCUGUGGACACAAGCACAGACAAGCAGCCAACUUUUGACAGAUUCAAUACCUCCAGGUGGAGGUGGGUGGCCAGAUGACUGCCCCGGCUGUUGCCACUUCCCACCGACGCCCCCGGCCCCC